RNAcentral lists this ribosomal RNA (407 nucleotides) under uncultured bacterium. RNAcentral's name for it is "partial 16S ribosomal RNA". It matches the Rfam family "Bacterial small subunit ribosomal RNA", at positions 30 to 526 of the family's 1533-position model. The record is from RNAcentral.
AUUGAACGCUGGCGGCAGGCCUAACACAUGCAAGUCGAGCGGAGCGGAGGACGGGUGAGUAAUGCCUAGGAAUCUGACUGGUAGUGGGGGAUAACGUCCGGAAAGGGGCGCUAAUACAGCACACUAUCAGAUGCACCUAGGUGGGAUUAGCUAGAUGGUGGGGUAAAGGCCAACCAAGGCGACGAUCCGUAACUGGUAUGAGUGGAUGAUCAGUCAAACUGGAACUGAGACACGGUCCAGACGCCUACGGGAGGCAGCAGUGGGGAAUAUUUGACAAUGGGCGAAAGCCUGAGCCAGCCAUGCCGCGUGUGUGAAGAAGGUCUUCGGAUUGUAAAGCACUUUAAGUUGGGAGGCGUUACCAGCAGAAUAAGCACCGGCUAACUUCGUGCCAGCAGCCGCGGUAAUUC